AUGCCCAGGCUCCCACCCAUCUCUCUGUGUCCCUGCAGCCGGCCCAGGCCGUGGCCGGGCGCAGAGGGCACCGUGCACCCCACGGGCCCUGGCGGAGACACCCCUGGGUGCACCCCAGGAUUUUUUUGGGGGGAAAAAGACUGCACCCACGGGCACACGACGGGGGGUUCGCCGGCGGGGAGCGGGGCUGGGGCUGCAGGCAGCCCGGCGGAGCCGAGCUGCGGCGAUGUGGCCGGUAUGUGUGUGGGCGGCAGGCAGGGUGGGGGAGAAGGAGGGAGAGGAAGCGGCAGAGGCAGCAGCUCCUUUGAUAAGCAGCUUCCUGAACACUUUCAAACCCUGGUGUUAGACCGACACGCGCGGCACCCGCGGCCCUGUGCCGGCCCGGACGGAGCCCAUGCCUCGGGGCAGCAGGUAGGCAGCCCCCGGCCCGCGGGCGCAGUGCCGAUGGUCCCGUGCCACCCUUCGGAGAGGGGACCCCCACGGGCAGCUCCAGGCCCUGGUGACUAUGUGCCCUGGGCAUGUGCUCGCCCGCAGGCAGCGCAGGUGCCCGGGGCAGGGUUGGGAUGCUGGUGGGGAGGUGGGGAUGCUCUCCGUGCAGGUGCAGGGAGCCGAGGCUCUUCCCAAGGUCCUGCUGUGUGCCAGGGGCUUGCUGAGGCAUCUCCCUGGUGUUUCGUGGCUGGUGUGCAAGGGGCGGUGUUGGGGUCGCAGCCUGCUGCUCCCGGCACCGGGGGAAAAUGCAGGAUCUGCUGGGAUCAGCCCGUGGUGCCUCGGUUCCCGGGGAGCUCCUGCCCUGCCCGAACGGGGAGCACCCCACAGCACGGGGCACGGGGACGGUGCAUGUGGCGGUGGUGGCACUGCCACCAUGUGAACGCUCAUCCCUCCAGGCCAGGAAUGCUGCUGGGCAGCGGGGAGUCCCGGGGAACAGCUCCUGCCCCGGCCACAUUCCCAAAAUUCACGGCCGUGGCCACGCUGGGGUCUUCCCUGACCUCAUACACCCGCUGGGACCCCGGGGUCUGGCUCUCCACAGGGACCCCUGGGAGCUGCUGGGGUAUUUGGGACCCAGCUCUGUGCCCACUGCUCUGA
This 1083-nucleotide long non-coding RNA is filed under the name Anas platyrhynchos platyrhynchos (common mallard). RNAcentral describes it as "lncRNA (ENSAPLG00000024690.1)". Lineage: Eukaryota; Metazoa; Chordata; Aves; Anseriformes; Anatidae. The record is from RNAcentral.